RNAcentral lists this unclassified non-coding RNA (274 nucleotides) under Lacticaseibacillus rhamnosus. RNAcentral's name for it is "partial contains 16S ribosomal RNA and 16S-23S ribosomal RNA intergenic spacer". The stretch from base 1 to 53 matches the Rfam family "Bacterial small subunit ribosomal RNA", at positions 1481 to 1533 of the family's 1533-position model. Lineage: Bacteria; Bacillati; Bacillota; Bacilli; Lactobacillales; Lactobacillaceae. The record is from RNAcentral.
UGAAGUCGUAACAAGGUAGCCGUAGGAGAACCUGCGGCUGGAUCACCUCCUUUCUAAGGAAACAGACUGAAAGUCUGACGGAAACCUGCACACACGAAACUUUGUUUAGUUUUGAGGGGAUUACCCUCAAGCACCCUAGCGGGUGCGACUUUGUUCUUUGAAAACUGGAUAUCAUUGUUGUAAAUGUUUUAAAUUGCCGAGAACACAGCGUAUUUGUAUGAGUUUCUAAUAAUAGAAAUUCGCAUCGCAUAACCGCUGACGCAAGUCAGUACAG